GGGUGAAGAAGGCCUUCGGGUUGUAAAGCCCUUUUGUUGGGAAAGAAAACUUUCCGGUUAAUACCCGGAGAGAAUGACGGUACCCAAAGAAUAAGCACCGGCUAACUUCGUGCCAGCAGCCGCGGUAAUACGAAGGGUGCAAGCGUUACUCGGAAUUACUGGGCGUAAAGCGUGCGUAGGUGGUUCGUUAAGUCUGAUGUGAAAGCCCUGGGCUCAACCUGGGAAUUGCAUUGGAUACUGGCGGGCUAGAGUACGGUAGAGGGUAGUGGAAUUCCUGGUGUAGCAGUGAAAUGCGUAGAGAUCAGGAGGAACAUCCGUGGCGAAGGCGACUACCUGGACCAGUACUGACACUGAGGCACGAAAGCGUGGGGAGCAAACAGGAUUAGAUACCCUGGUAGUCCACGCCCUAAACGAUGCGAACUGGAUGUUGGGUUCAACUAGGAACUCAGUAUCGAAGCUAACGCGUUAAGUUCGCCGCCUGGGGAGUACGGUCGCAAGACUG
Molecule: ribosomal RNA, 502 nt
Filed under: uncultured bacterium
Lineage: Bacteria
Description: bacterial SSU rRNA
Rfam family: Bacterial small subunit ribosomal RNA
Source: RNAcentral